Molecule: non-coding RNA, 106 nt
Organism: Oryza nivara
Lineage: Eukaryota; Viridiplantae; Streptophyta; Magnoliopsida; Poales; Poaceae
Source: Rfam
AUCCCAUGGUGAGGACAAGCCAGGAUGUACUCCUAGAGUCUCUCCCACACCUCUGGAAACAACUCAUUAGUUUUUUGCUGGAAACAUGAAAUUCUUCCAUGAAGAG